Molecule: ribosomal RNA, 253 nt
Filed under: uncultured bacterium
Lineage: Bacteria
Description: partial 16S ribosomal RNA
Rfam family: Bacterial small subunit ribosomal RNA
Source: RNAcentral
UACAGAGGUCUCAAGCGUUGUUCGGAUUCAUUGGGCGUAAAGGGUGCGUAGGCGGCGCGGUAAGUCGGAUGUGAAAUCUCGGAGCUUAACUUCGAAACUGCAUUCGAUACUGCCGUGCUUGAGGACUGGAGAGGAGACUGGAAUUUACGGUGUAGCGGUGAAAUGCGUAGAUAUCGUAAGGAAGACCAGUGGCGAAGGCGGGUCUCUGGACAGUUCCUGACGCUGAGGCACGAAGGUCAGGGGAGAAAACGGG